AGCGCAGGCGGUGCGGCAAGUCUGAUGUGAAAGCCCGGGGCUCAACCCCGGUACUGCAUUGGAAACUGUCGUACUAGAGUGUCGGAGGGGUAAGGUGGAAUUCCUAGUGUAGCGGUGAAAUGCGUAGAUAUUAGGAGGAACACCAGUGGCGAAGGCGGCUUACUGGACGAUAACUGACGCUGAGGCUCGAAAGCGUGGGGAGCAAACA
RNAcentral lists this ribosomal RNA (208 nucleotides) under uncultured bacterium. RNAcentral's name for it is "partial 16S ribosomal RNA". It matches the Rfam family "Bacterial small subunit ribosomal RNA", at positions 568 to 774 of the family's 1533-position model. The record is from RNAcentral.